CUCUCCAAUCUAGCUUCCCUCCUCCCUUGUCAGUGUGGAGAAACAGGAAGGAAUGUUUAUUAACAAGGCUGGCUGAGGUCACACCCAAGGCAAUAUCAGAGUUUUACCUCUCCUGGGCCUUGGAAAAGAUUCAAAGAUCAAGGCCAGCU
This 149-nucleotide long non-coding RNA is filed under the name Castor canadensis (American beaver). RNAcentral describes it as "CDKN2B antisense RNA 1 intronic convserved region (ENSCCNG00000015957.1)". It matches the Rfam family "CDKN2B antisense RNA 1 intronic convserved region". Rfam says of the family: CDKN2B-AS, also known as ANRIL (antisense non-coding RNA in the INK4 locus) is a long non-coding RNA consisting of 19 exons, spanning 126.3kb in the genome, and spliced product is a 3834bp RNA. The record is from RNAcentral. Lineage: Eukaryota; Metazoa; Chordata; Mammalia; Rodentia; Castoridae.